RNAcentral lists this RNase P RNA (361 nucleotides) under Paracoccaceae bacterium. Its description in RNAcentral is "Rhodobacteraceae bacterium (subsurface metagenome) RNase P RNA component class A". It matches the Rfam family "Bacterial RNase P class A". From Rfam's summary of the family: Ribonuclease P (RNase P) is a ubiquitous endoribonuclease, found in archaea, bacteria and eukarya as well as chloroplasts and mitochondria. The record is from RNAcentral. Lineage: Bacteria; Pseudomonadati; Pseudomonadota; Alphaproteobacteria; Rhodobacterales; Paracoccaceae.
GCGGAUGGCUGGAUGGCUGCACCUGUAAGGGUGAGGAAAGUCCGGACUCCAUGGAGAAGUGACGCCGGUUAACGGCCGGCCGGGGUAACCCGAGGGAAAGUGCCACAGAGAACAGACCGCCUUGCGUGCAAGGUAAGGGUGAAACGGUGGAGUAAGAGACCACCGCGUUGCUGGCAACAGGAACGGCACGGUAAACCCCGUCAGGAGCAAGGCCAAAUAGGGAUCGCGCGUCGCAAGACAGGUCUUCAACCGAGCGAUCCGGGUUGGCUGCAAGAGCCUGUUGGUAACAGCAGGCCCAGACGAAUGGUCAUCGAAGGGCUUAGGCCCGGAACAAAAUCCGGCUUACAGGCCAUCCGCAUAU